Molecule: ribosomal RNA, 497 nt
Filed under: uncultured bacterium
Lineage: Bacteria
Description: partial 16S ribosomal RNA
Rfam family: Bacterial small subunit ribosomal RNA
Source: RNAcentral
GAUGAACGCUGGCGGCGUGCCUAAUACAUGCAAGUCGAGCGAACAGACGAGGAGCUUGCUCCUCUGACGUUAGCGGCGGACGGGUGAGUAACACGUGGAUAACCUACCUAUAAGACUGGGAUAACUUCGGGAAACCGGAGCUAAUACCGGAUAAUAUAUUGAACCGCAUGGUUGAAUAGUGAAAGACGGUUUUGCUGUAACUUAUAGAUGGAUCCCGGCCGCUUGAGCUAGUUGGUAAGGUAACGGCUUAUCAAGGCAACUAUGCGUAGCCGACCUGAGAGGGGGAUCGCCCACACGGGAGCGUGGACACGGUCCAGACGCCUACGGGAGGCAGCAGUAGGGAAUCUGACGCAAUGGGCGAAAGCCUGACGGAGCAACGCCGCGUGAGUGGUGAAGGUCUUCGGAUCGUAAAACUCUGUUAUGAGGUAAGAACAAAUUUGUAAGUAACUAAGCACGUCUUGACGGUACCUAGUCAGAAAGCCACGGCUAACUACGUG